AACGCGAAGAACCUUACCUGGGCUUGAACUACUGGAAGUAAGAUUCCGGAAACGGAAGAUGACCUGUCAAGUCAGGGACCAGCAGAGGUGCUGCAUGGCUGUCGUCAGCUCGUGUCGUGAGAUGUUGGGUUAAGUCCCGCAACGAGCGCAACCCUUGUCCUGUGUUGGCAUGCCGCAAGGCGCAACUCGCAGGAGACCGCCAGCGAUAAGCUGGAGGAAGGUGGGGAUGACGUCAAGUCAUCAUGGCCUUUAUGUCCAGGGCCACACACGUGCUACAAUGGGCGGUACAAAGCGCUGCCAACCCGCGAGGGGGAGCUAAUCGCCAAAAACCGUCCUCAGUUCGGAUUGCAGGCUGCAACUCGCCUGCAUGAAGCUGGAAUCGCUAGUAAUGCUAUAUCAGAACGAUAGCGUGAAUACGUUCCCGGGCCUUGUACACACCGGAGUA
RNAcentral lists this ribosomal RNA (445 nucleotides) under uncultured bacterium. RNAcentral's name for it is "bacterial SSU rRNA". It matches the Rfam family "Bacterial small subunit ribosomal RNA", at positions 958 to 1398 of the family's 1533-position model. The record is from RNAcentral.